Molecule: ribosomal RNA, 497 nt
Filed under: uncultured bacterium
Lineage: Bacteria
Description: bacterial SSU rRNA
Rfam family: Bacterial small subunit ribosomal RNA
Source: RNAcentral
AAAGGAAUUGACGGGGGCCCGCACAAGCGGUGGAGUAUGUGGUUUAAUUCGACGCAACGCGAAGAACCUUACCAGCUUUUGACAUGGGCAGUAUGGGGCGUAGAGAUAUGCUUCUUCACUUCGGGUGGCUGCCACACAGGUGCUGCAUGGCUGUCGUCAGCUCGUGUCGUGAGAUGUUGGGUUAAGUCCCGCAACGAGCGCAACCCUUAUUCUUAGUUGCCAUCAUUCAGUUGGGCACUCUAAGGAAACUGCCGGUGACAAGCCGGAGGAAGGCGGGGAUGACGUCAAGUCCUCAUGGCCCUUACAGGCUGGGCUACACACGUACUACAAUGGCGGCCACAACGGGAAGCGAACCUGCGAGGGGGAGCGAAUCCUUUAAAAGCCGUCUCAGUUCGGAUUGCACUCUGCAACUCGGGUGCAUGAAGUCGGAAUCGCUAGUAAUCGCGUAUCAGCAUGACGCGGUGAAUACGUUCCCGGGCCUUGUACACACCGCCCGU